GCAGGUUGAAGCGCGGGUAAGACCGCGUGGAGGACCGAACCCACCUGGGUUGAAAACCGGGGGGAUGACUUGGGGCUAGGGGUGAAAGGCCAAUCAAAUUCCGUGAUAGCUGGUUCUCUCCGAAAUGCAUUUAGGUGCAGCGUCGGAUCGAUUACAUCCGGGGGGUAGAGCGACUGGAUGCUUGCGGGCCCAUAUCGGGUACCAACAGCAACCAAACUCCGAAUACCCGUGAUGCGUAUCCCGGCAGUGAGUCGGCGGGGGAUAAGCUCCGUCGUCGAAAGGGAAACAGCCCAGAUCGUCGUCUAAGGUCCCCAAGCGUGUGCUAAGUGGGAAAGGAUGUGGAGUCGCAUAGACAGCCAGGAGGUUGGCUCAGAAGCAGCCACCCUUGAAAGAGUGCGUAACAGCUCACUGGUCUAGUGGUUCCGCGCCGACAAUGUAGCGGGGCUCAAGCACACCACCGAAGACGCGGCAGUACUUUGUACUGGGUAGGAGAGCGUCCCAUGCGGGGCGAAGCGGCGGCGCAAGCCCGCCGUGGACCGCAUGGGAGUGAGAAUGCAGACAUGAGUAGCGAAAGACGGGUGAAGAUCCCGUCCGCUGGACGACCAAGGGUUCCAGGGCCACGUUCAUCGUCCCUGGGUGAGUCGGGUCCUAAGGCGAGGCCGACAGGCGUAGUCGAAUGGAUGAACGGGUCGAUAUUCCCGUACCGGCAUGCAACCGGCAAAACCGAAUCCGCGAGUACUAACCUCCGGGUCCGGGCUUACGUCUCCUUCGGGAGCCGGAUGCCCUGGCCUGUUGGGACCGUAACGGUAGUAGGUCAGCGCGGGAGUGACGCAGAAGGGUAGCCGGCCGCGGAGGUGGUCUUCCGUGGUCAAGCACGCAGCCCGUCCCACAGGCAAAUCCGUGGGGCGCGUGGGCGAGGUGCGAUGAUGGGCGCCGUUGGGCGCGAUAUCCGGUGAUCCCGGCUGCCGAGAAAAGCUUCGGCGUGAGGCGGCGUGCCGCCCGUACCCCAAACCGACACUGGUGGUCAGGUAGAGAAUACCAAAGCGAUCGAGCGAAUCCUGGUCAAGGAACUCGGCAAAUCACUCCCGUUCCUUCGGUUUAAGGGAGACCCCCGAUGGUGAAGCGGCUUGCCCGCGGAGCUUUUGGGGGUGGCACAGACCAGGGGGUAGCGACUGUUUACCAAAAACACAGGAGCGUGCGAAGGCGCAAGCCGCUGUAUACGCUCUGACGCCUGCCCGGUGCCGGAAGGUUAAGAGGAUCCGUCAGGCUUCGGCCGAAGCGGUGAAUUCAAGCCCCGGUAAACGGCGGUGGUAACUAUAACCAUCCUAAGGUAGCGAAAUUCCUUGUCGGGUAAGUUCCGACCUGCACGAAUGGCGUAACGACUUCCCCACUGUCUCGACCAGGAGCUCGGCGAAAUUGCAGUACGAGUAAAGAUGCUCGUUAAGCGCAGAAGGACGAAAAGACCCCGGGACCUUUACUAUACCUUGGUAUUGGCAUUCGGUGUGGAUUGUGUAGCAUAGGCGGAAGGCUUCGAAGCCACGGCGCCAGCCGCGGUGGAGCCGCAAGGUGAAAUACCGCUCUGUUCGCAUUGGAUGUCUAACCUCGACCAGUCAUCCUGGUCAGGGACAGUGCCUGGCGGGUAGUUUAACUGGGGCGGUUGCCUCCCAAAGAGUAACGGAGGCGCUCAAAGGUUCCCUCAGCCCGGUUGGCAAUCGGGUGGCGAGUGUAAGUGCACAAGGGAGCUUGACUGCGAGACUGACGGGUCGAGCAGGGACGAAAGUCGGAACUAGUGAUCCGGUGCCGGUGUACGGACGCGGCAUCGCUCAACGGAUAAAAGGUACCCCGGGGAUAACAGGCUGAUCAUUCCCAAGAGUCCAUAUCGACGGGAUGGUUUGGCACCUCGAUGUCGGCUCGUCGCAUCCUGGGGCUGGAGCAGGUCCCAAGGGUUCGGCUGUUCGCCGAUUAAAGCGGCACGCGAGCUGGGUUCAGAACGUCGUGAGACAGUUUGGUCUCUAUCCUCUGCGCUCGUCGGAAUGUUGAGGAGGCCUGCCCAUAGUACGAGAGGACCUGGGUGGACGAACCUCUGGUAUGCCGGUUGUCACGCCAGUGGCACGGCCGGUUGGCUACGUUCGG
This 2133-nucleotide ribosomal RNA is filed under the name human gut metagenome. RNAcentral's name for it is "bacterial LSU rRNA". It matches the Rfam family "Bacterial large subunit ribosomal RNA", at positions 740 to 2758 of the family's 2925-position model. The record is from RNAcentral.